Molecule: ribosomal RNA, 468 nt
Filed under: uncultured bacterium
Lineage: Bacteria
Description: partial 16S ribosomal RNA
Rfam family: Bacterial small subunit ribosomal RNA
Source: RNAcentral
GACGAACGCUGGCGGCGUGCUUAACACAUGCGAGUCGAACGGAAAGGCCCUGCUUUUGUGGGGUGCUCGAGUGGCGAACGGGUGAGUAACACGUGAGUAACCUGCCCUUGACUUUGGGAUAACUUCAGGAAACUGGGGCUAAUACCGGAUAGGAGCUCCUGCUGCAUGGUGGGGGUUGGAAAGUUUCGGCGGUUGGGGAUGGACUCGCGGCUUAUCAGCUUGUUGGUGGGGUAGUGGCUUACCAAGGCUUUGACGGGUAGCCGGCCUGAGAGGGUGACCGGCCACAUUGGGACUGAGAUACGGCACAGACUCCUACGGGAGGCAGCAGUGGGGAAUAUUGCACAAUGGGCGGAAGCCUGAUGCAGCAACGCCGCGUGCGGGAUGACGGCCUUCGGGUUGUAAACCGCUUUCGCCUGUGACGAAGCGUGAGUGACGGUAAUGGGUAAAGAAGCACCGGCUAACUACGUG